AUCGCCUCUCUGCCUUUUGGCUAAGAUCAAGUGUAGUAUCUGUUCUUAUCAGUUUAAUAUCUGAUCCGUCCUCUAUCUGAGGACAAUAUAUUAAAUGGAUUUUUGGAGCAGGGGGAUGGAAUAGGAGCUUGCUCCAUCCACUCCAUGUAUCAACCUGGUAUUGCAGUACUUCCAGGAAUGGCACACCCCCU
Small nuclear RNA from Vulpes vulpes (red fox), 191 nucleotides. Its record names the gene U2. It matches the Rfam family "U2 spliceosomal RNA". From Rfam's summary of the family: U2 is a small nuclear RNA (snRNA) component of the spliceosome (involved in pre-mRNA splicing). Complementary binding between U2 snRNA (in an area lying towards the 5' end but 3' to hairpin I) and the branchpoint sequence (BPS) of the intron results the bulging out of an unpaired adenosine, on the BPS, which initiates a nucleophilic attack at the intronic 5' splice site, thus starting the first of two transesterification reactions that mediate splicing. Lineage: Eukaryota; Metazoa; Chordata; Mammalia; Carnivora; Canidae. The record is from Ensembl.